This is a long non-coding RNA of Monodelphis domestica (gray short-tailed opossum), 1623 nucleotides long. The record is from Ensembl. Lineage: Eukaryota; Metazoa; Chordata; Mammalia; Didelphimorphia; Didelphidae.
AUGAGUACUACAUUCUUUGACAAUUAUAUGGCAGCAGAAGAAGUAGGGGCAUUGAGGAAUGAAGGAUACCUCCAAAUUUUUAUAUUAAUAGGUACUGUCAUUUUUGUAAUCCUCAAUACUAUAUUUAGAGAUGAAAAAAUAAGAAAAAUUGAGGAUAAAAUGCAAGCCCAAUUAGAAGAUCUAAAAAGUCUCUUACAGGAUCAAUUGGCAAACAACCACUCUACCAGAAACAGACCUGUUUCUGAACCUUUGAAUGAGGAAAUUUCCUUCCCUGAAAUAGAGAUGGAAAACACCUUCCCUAUAGCCCAGUUAACAGACUGCUUCUCUCGUGUAGUGCAAAUCUUGUCUGAAUUUAAUCCCCAAAACCCUUCCCCUGCAAUCCCAGCUUCUCAUGUUCCUUCUACAGAAAACCAAAUUCCAAUGCAAGGGAGAUCUUGUCCUCCUAGAGAAACCUGUCAUUGUCAAACUGACCCACAGGUGCAAAAUUCAACUAGAGGCCUGUUUCCUCUAAGAGAAGUACCUGAAAUAGGACAAAAUGGGGAUGUGGUGACUUUAAGACAUAGGAUACUGUUUACUCCCCAAGAAAUAAAUGAAUUUACACGAAAUAUCCCCACAUAUGAACAAGAUCCUUUUCUAGUAACAAAAAAGAUGGGAGACAUAUUUUUUCAGUAUAAUCCAUCUUACAAGGACGUUGAGAGCUUACUACAGGCUUUUUUAAGUGAACGUGAAAAAAAUAAAAUAAUUGCUCAUGUCAACAAAACCCGGGGGCGUAAUGCAGCACAUUGGCCAUCUCAGGAUCCCGAAUGGGACUAUAACAAUCCUGAUGAUUAUCUACAACUAUACUGUUGUAGAGAGGCCAUCCUCACGGCCAUGAAGGAAUGUGCAGACAGUACAGAUAAGUGGAUGGAACUGGAAAAAAUUAAGCAAAAGGAAGACGAAACACCCUCCAGAUUUAUGGACAGAAUUAUCGAGUUUGGGGACAGAUACUUAGAUUGGGACUUAACUAAAGAGAGUAGUUUAAGACAAGUUAGGAGAAUCUUUGUAAACAAUUCUUGCAAAGCAAUUAAAAAUUAUUUUAAAACACAAUGCCCAAGAUGGUCAGAUAUGGACCUUGAAGAAUUGCGAAAAACAGCUAUAUAUGUUUUAAAGGGAAACGAAGAAAAGGAGAAAGAAAAUAAUGAUGACAUGGAGGAAAUGAAGAAAAAAAUGAGAUAUUUAAUAGAUAGGAUAACUAAAUUAGAAAGUGGGCAGGAUAAUGAACCAACGACAAUUGCCCCUCUCCAGAAAUCCAAUUAUCAAUCCAUUACUUGCCACUUCUGUGAGAAGGGCCACAAAAUGAUGGAAUGUAGAACCUUUCUUAAGAUGAUUGGAAGGAAUACACAGUUUAAUAAUAGCUUUAGAAAUAAUAACUAUAAUGAAUAUAGAAAUAAGAACUUUAGAAACCAGAAUUAUAGAAAUAGGAAUUGGGAAAUUAAUGACAAUGCUCAAAUUGAAGAAAAUUUUAAUGAUAAUACUCAACAAUAUAUGAGAAAUGGCGCUCGUCCAAAAAUUACUCGAGGUACUAAUGACCCUCAGAGAGGUGCCCUUCAGGGGGGUGCCCAAGGAAUAUCCCAAACACAAUGA